RNAcentral lists this long non-coding RNA (410 nucleotides) under Rattus norvegicus (Norway rat). Its description in RNAcentral is "long non-coding RNA NONRATT028738". Lineage: Eukaryota; Metazoa; Chordata; Mammalia; Rodentia; Muridae. The record is from RNAcentral.
CGCUGGGGAUUGAUCCAGGGUCUCAUGCAUGCUGAGUAAUUGCUCUAAGACCCCAAUUCCUUCUGCUUGUGUCUGUGUGGCAUUCUCGGAAAAGUCUCUCCAGAUAAAAUCCUGGGAAAAGCUCUCAGAGUUUGUGGAGAUGAUCUUCUCCACCAGCUGGUUGUAGCUGCAGUUGCCAACAGCUCUUACAAUGUCAUCGAUCUGGAAAACACAUGAUGGUCCCACUAGUCCCGGAGAGAUUGGAAACAGUAACAAAGACAGGCUCUCUCAACAUAGCACAAGCUAGCAUCGAAUUUGCCAUAAGGACUGCGAUGGGACCAGUGCUUUGAAGCUCCAGCCGCCAUGGCUUCCCUGACUUAAUGGACUGUACCCUCAAACUGUGAGCGAAAAUAAACCCUACCUUAAGUUGC